This 309-nucleotide small RNA is filed under the name Mus pahari (shrew mouse). RNAcentral describes it as "sRNA (MGP_PahariEiJ_G0008248.1)". It matches the Rfam family "7SK RNA". From Rfam's summary of the family: 7SK was discovered as an abundant small nuclear RNA in the mid-70s but a possible function has only recently been suggested. Two independent studies have found that 7SK RNA binds the CDK9/cyclin T complex (known as elongation factor P-TEFb). P-TEFb activates transcription by phosphorylating the C-terminal domain of RNA polymerase II. The record is from RNAcentral. Lineage: Eukaryota; Metazoa; Chordata; Mammalia; Rodentia; Muridae.
AAGGCUGUUUGGACUAUGGCAUUAGUCACCCCACUGUUUGCAAGGGUUGAUUGGGCUAACCUGGCCGGGUAGGCCAAUUUCCUCUUUCUCCAUCACCACUAUGUGUGUAUCCCUCCAAGAUCACUGAGCUCUGUCGAUGACUUCCUGCUUUACAAUGGAAGACCAUUCUCCAGCCAGGUAGAUAGAAGAAGCCACCCUUGUUUACUAGAACCUCUAGACAAGCUCUUAAGAUCACAGUUUUUGCAUCUUCUAAAUGUAAAGGAUGACUUUGCAAAUCAAGGACUAUUUCUUAGGAUUGGGGAGCAACGU